AAGUGUAUAAAACUUAUGGGGUUAAG
Molecule: small RNA, 26 nt
Filed under: Bombyx mori (domestic silkworm)
Lineage: Eukaryota; Metazoa; Arthropoda; Insecta; Lepidoptera; Bombycidae
Description: ovarian small RNA-10707
Source: RNAcentral